CAUGCCAACAAGAACCAGCAGGAGAGAUGGGGUUUCACUAUGUUGACCAGGCUGGUCUGGAACUCUUGACCUCAUGAACCACCUGCCUUGGCCAAAGAUUCAAGUCAGUGCAAUAAAAAAAGUACAUUUCUGAUCACAUCUCCAUUUCUUCAACAUUUACAUAUUUAUAUUUCCAAGAUACUCCAUACAGCAUGAAUCCACGAAGAAUUAGGCUUCGACUAAGAUUCUUUCUACAUUGAUCUCGAGUUUAGCAAAGGGAGCCUAUGAAUGAGCUGCCUUCCCUGAUGUCAGCACUGAAACUCGAGAAACAAGUUUCUCUGAAAUCUCUGGAUCAUCUUACAUUCUGGCGAGUUCUACCUUCUGUUAAUGAAGGUAGUCGUCUCUUUCCAACUAGAUGAACACUGUCAUCACCUCCAGGAUCUCUGGUGUUACCCACAUUAACUUCUUCAAUAACCACACCCACUGCCUCCCCAGUCUCUCUCCUGUCCCAGAUUUGCUUUAGCCCCAACAUGCAAAGGGAGAAUUUGAGCAAAAAGACUUCAAGGCAUCUUGCAGAGGUGGUAGGCCUCUAUAUAAGACUUUAAACUCCUACAGAUGUGGAUUUGGAUCAGCAUGAUCUGAUUAUUCUGGCUAUUGACUCCUCAUCGGUCUACAUGGUGGCCAUACAUUCUGGAUAUAGCCAGGGUCACCCUGCUCCUGUGAGGAGGGGACGCCAGAAGCAGGAAUCUCGCCUGGGAGGUUCCCACCCUCUGAUAAAACGCACACAGCUGCACCAAGGACGUCUGGGAAAACAGGCAAGUCUGUAAGCGCUUGCUCUUGAAGCAAUUCCCGAUUCUUCCGCCCUGAAUAACUCAUCAUGUCGGAGGUUGCCAAGAACCGUCGGUCAACGAAGGUGUGGGCCAGCUGUCACAGGACAGAGGUGAGCUGGGCUGAGGAUGGCGAGCUGGACUGAGGAUGGUGGGCAGGAGGCCGGCUGCGGGGGAGGAGGAACUCCCAGGUGAGUACCUGGUGCGCAUGACGGGGAAGAUACUAUCACCACUCCUCUCGGAAACUCCUCCCAUGCCCCUAAUUCUUCAACCCCUCUUCCUAGAUUUCUGCAGAGCCCUCAAACCCCACCCAUCUCCACAUCUGGAAUUUAGGGACAUGCUACCCACUACCUACUCUUGACUUUAUAGGAGUACGGGGAAGCUUUUCAGCGGUUAUGUAAUUGUGCCUCAUUUUAAAAGUGAAAAAUAUUAACACAGUGCUCAAGUGAAUGGAUCUGGGGCCGGAUUGCCCGGGUUCAAAGCCCAGCUCCACCACAUUGCUCAGUCUUCCCCUCGCUUUCCUAUUCUAUGAAAUGGAAGUCAUAAUAGUAGCUAUGCUUGGCUUUAUUUUAAAGGUUAAAUGAAGGAAGACAUACAAAGUACUUAGAACAAGUCCUGUUAUAUAGUAACUACUAUACAAGUAUUGUCAGUAUUUUUUUUUUGAGACGGAGUCUCGCAGUGUUGCCCGGGCAACACUAUGAAGGAGAGAAACACUAUGAAUGUAAUGAAUUUGGAAAAUUUAGCAAGAAAUCAAACUUUACCCAACAUCAAAGAAUGUACACAGGAGAAAAACCUGAUGAGUGUAAAGAAAAUGAGAAAGCCUUGAAGAAGUUAUACCAUACUCAAAAUGAGAGAACUCAUGCAGGAGAGAAAGUCUAUGAUUGUAAGAAAUGUGGGAAAUUCUUUCAUGAAAAAGCAUGCCUUACUCAACAUCAGAGAACCCACACAACAGGAAAACCCAGCAAGUGUAAUGAUAGUGAAAGAGUCUUGAAGGAAUCUUGCCUCACUCCCAAUCAGAGAAUUAAAACAAGAUUAAAACAAGAGAGAAAAACUGUAAAGGUAAUAAAUGUGAGAAACCUUUCUUUGAGAAGUUGAAACACACUCAACAUCAGAGAAGGCACUUGGGGAAAAAAAAUAAUGGGCGUAAUGAAAGUGGGGUGCCUCAAGUAGGAAGUCACAACUUACACAA
Long non-coding RNA from Homo sapiens (human), 1995 nucleotides. NCBI's taxonomy places the organism in Eukaryota, Metazoa, Chordata, Mammalia, Primates, Hominidae. The record is from Ensembl.